RNAcentral lists this long non-coding RNA (283 nucleotides) under Elaeis guineensis (African oil palm). RNAcentral describes it as "long non-coding RNA (EGUI_LNC026129)". The record is from RNAcentral. Lineage: Eukaryota; Viridiplantae; Streptophyta; Magnoliopsida; Arecales; Arecaceae.
GCAUCAUCUUCCACAAACGGGCUUUGCAGUCCUCAAUGUUAUUGUAUGUCCUAGAAGUCAAUCUUGACUGACGCAUACCAUAAUUUUAAGAUAUAUUUUUAUACUAACGAAUAGUUUUUAUAACCAUUCAUGUUAUAUGUAUCUAUGAAUUGUUAUAAAAAUUACUAAAGAUGAUUUUGUAUAUUCUCAAGGUAUUAAAAAUUUGAGACAUAUAUUAUCAAUGAUUAAUUUUUGAAUACUCUCGAUUGGAGGAUCGUCAUAGAGGAUAGUAAUCAAUCCAUUA